GAGGGUACAGGUCAGUGGCAGAGCACGUGCUUAGCAUGCACGAGGGCCUGGGUUCAAUCCCCAAUAACUCCA
This 72-nucleotide transfer RNA is filed under the name Camelus bactrianus (Bactrian camel). It matches the Rfam family "tRNA". Rfam says of the family: Transfer RNA (tRNA) molecules are approximately 80 nucleotides in length. Their secondary structure includes four short double-helical elements and three loops (D, anti-codon, and T loops). Further hydrogen bonds mediate the characteristic L-shaped molecular structure. tRNAs have two regions of fundamental functional importance: the anti-codon, which is responsible for specific mRNA codon recognition, and the 3' end, to which the tRNAs corresponding amino acid is attached (by aminoacyl-tRNA synthetases). tRNAs cope with the degeneracy of the genetic code in two manners: having more than one tRNA (with a specific anti-codon) for a particular amino acid; and 'wobble' base-pairing, i.e. permitting non-standard base-pairing at the 3rd anti-codon position. The record is from Rfam by way of RNAcentral. RNAcentral also lists the same sequence under 2 other names. Lineage: Eukaryota; Metazoa; Chordata; Mammalia; Artiodactyla; Camelidae.